GACGAACGCUGGCGGCGUGCUUAACACAUGCAAGUCGAGCGGAGCGGCGAACGGGUGAGUAACGCGUGAGUAACUGCCCCCCUCUCUGGGAUAACAGUUGGAAACGGCUGCUCAUACCGGAUAGUGGGGGAUGACUCGGGUCCUAUCGGUUGAUUGGUGGGGUAGGGGCCUACCACGGGGACGACGGGUGGCCGGCCUGAGAGGGCGACCGGCCACAGUGGGCUGCGAUACGGACCAAACUCCUACGGGAGGCAGUAGUGGGGAAUAUGGCCCAAUGGGGGAAACCCUGAUGCAGCAACGCCGCGGGCGUGAUGACGGCCUUCGGGUUGUAAACCGCUUUCAGCCAUGACGCGGUAGUGGCAGAAGAAGCACCGGCUAACUACGUGCCAGCCGCCGCGGUAAUAC
RNAcentral lists this ribosomal RNA (405 nucleotides) under uncultured bacterium. Its description in RNAcentral is "partial 16S ribosomal RNA". It matches the Rfam family "Bacterial small subunit ribosomal RNA", at positions 28 to 526 of the family's 1533-position model. The record is from RNAcentral.